Gallus gallus (chicken) is the source of this 397-nucleotide long non-coding RNA. RefSeq lists it as uncharacterized. The transcript is spliced from 2 exons. The record is from RefSeq and is a predicted model, not a curated record. Lineage: Eukaryota; Metazoa; Chordata; Aves; Galliformes; Phasianidae.
GCUGAGAGCUCUGAGUGUGGAGCAGCUGCUGAAGGCACUGUGUGGAGCCUGCCUGGGGAAGCUCCUGCUGAAGCUUUGUUGCCCAGGGCAGGUCAGAGGGGAGGAGUUGGUGCCCACAGUGAUUGUGGUAAGGCCCAGCUGGAAGCUGGAAGCGAUGGCCCCAAAGAGCCCUUGUGGCUUCGGGGGAAUCUGGGGACGUAGGAGGGGUGAAGGAAAACACAGAGAUGGAAAGUGUGAUGCAAGCCAGAAUUUAUUGGAGGUUCGAGGGAGGAGGGAUGUGGCAGAAGGUCUGAGCCUGGCCAGAGGAUGUCCCCAUCUCCUUGCAGAGGGCAGAGGGACAGGAGCAGGCAGCCAGCAAAGAGCUGCAACAUCAUGGGGAGGCCAGACCUGGAGCAAA